GGGAAAGUCAUGUGUCUGUGAACAGGACUGAGACGGGGGAAAGUCAUGUGUCUGUGAACAGGACUGAGACGGGGGAAAGUCAUGUGUCUGUGAACAGGACUGAGACGGGGGAAAUCAUGUGUCUGUGAACAGGACUGAGACGGGGGAAAGUCAUGUGUCUGUGAACAGGACUGAGACGGGGGAAAGUCAUGUGUCUGUGAACAGGACUGAGACGGGGGAAAUCAUGUGUCUGUGAACAGGACUGAGACGGGGGAAAGUCAUGUGUCUGUGAACAGGACUGAGACGGGGGAAAGUCAUGUGUCUGUGAACAGGACUGAGACGGGGGAAAUCAUGUGUCUGUGAACAGGACUGAGACGGGGGAAAGUCAUGUGUCUGUGAACAGGACUGAGACGGGGGAAAGUCAUGUGUCUGUGAACAGGACUGAGACGGG
Molecule: long non-coding RNA, 430 nt
Organism: Oncorhynchus keta (chum salmon)
Lineage: Eukaryota; Metazoa; Chordata; Actinopteri; Salmoniformes; Salmonidae
Exons: 4
Source: RefSeq, a predicted model, not a curated record